This 253-nucleotide unclassified non-coding RNA is filed under the name uncultured Onygenales. Its description in RNAcentral is "sequence contains ITS2". The stretch from base 1 to 52 matches the Rfam family "5.8S ribosomal RNA", at positions 103 to 154 of the family's 154-position model. Lineage: Eukaryota; Fungi; Ascomycota; Eurotiomycetes; Onygenales. The record is from RNAcentral.
AACGCACAUUGCGCCCCCUGGUAUUCCGGGGGGCAUGCCUGUCCGAGCGUCAUUACUGCCCUCAAGCGCGGCUUGUGUGUUGGGCCUCGUCCCCCCGGGGACGUGCCCGAAAGGCAGUGGCGGCGCCGUGUCCGGUCCUCGAGCUUAUGGGGCUUUGUCACCCGCUCUGGAGGCCCGGCCGGCAGCCGCCGACCCAACCCCAAAUUUUUUACCGGUUGACCUCGGAUCAGGCAGGGAUACCCGCUGAACUUAA